Molecule: ribosomal RNA, 231 nt
Filed under: uncultured bacterium
Lineage: Bacteria
Description: partial 16S ribosomal RNA
Source: RNAcentral
CUGCUGCCUUCCGUAGGAGUUUGGGCCGUGUCUCAGUCUCAAUGUGGCCGGUCACCCUCUCAGGUCGGCUACUGAUCGUCGGCUUGGUGGGCCGUUACCCUGCCAACUGGCUAAUCAGACGCGGGGCCAUCGUAUGCCGAUAAAUCUUUUCACACCAUGCCAUGCAGCAUUGUGUGCUUAUGCGGUAUUAGCAGUCAUUUCUGACUGUUGUCCCCCUGCAUACGGCAGGUU